CAUUGGCUGUGGGUUUCUUGUGAUGUCACAAAAGCACUUGGCAACUGAGUGGAUAUAAAGGCAGGCCAAGGGGAAAGCCCUUUUCUAUUUCCAGCAGGAAACACCUGGCAAUGGAUGUGACAUUCAGCACUGCCCAGGUUUCUUUCACUUGGAGGAGGCAAACUGGUGAAUGGAAUGAGGCAAUCCUCUGGCAGUGGGAUGCUAUGGAGCAAUAAUAAGGCAAGUUUGCUUGCUUGAAGGCUGCUGGUAUCUGUGAUUAGAAGCUGGCGGACAUCUCAUGAUGGAACUAACAGUAGCUUCUGGCACAAUGGGACACCGUGAUGGAAACCAGAGCGCACGGAAACACCGUUUACCUUCCCGCUGCAGUGGUACCUAUUUAUCUAUUUGCACUGGUUUGCUUUCAAACAGCUAGGUUGGCAGGAGCUGGGACAGAGCAACGGGAGCUCACUCAGUCACACGGAUUCGAACCGCCGACCUUCCGAUGCAAGAUUUGUCUGCCCCUCCAGCUAACAUCAGCAACCUGAGGCUCCUGCCUCACUCUGCCUAACGGUAGGGCCAGCUGUGUCUAAGUACGGCCCUCUGAUUGAUGACUGUGUGAAACCUUUCCUCUCCCAAUUACGUAGGAGACAACUCCUAGAGGCCAAGGUCCUUUUGACCCACCCAAUAAAAUAUUUGAGGGGGCCAGCCCUCCCCCCAAAAAAGUUGCUGAGCAUUCAAAUGGUGUGUGUGUGCUAUGUUUUGUGAUUGGUUAUGCGACACGGGGCUUACCUGCUCCCCCAAUAUUUUAUUCAAGUUGGCAUCCCAGCUCCAUUACAGGGCCACCCUCUUAGUGCAGUUGGUUUCAAAGUGACCCAGUUGGCACAUGUGUAAUUGUGUCCAUUUAAAUGGCCUGUGGGUUCCUCCGUCCCACUCACAGUUCUGCAGCCACCUGCCUUCUUAGGGAUUUAUGAGCUGGCAAAUGUUCAAAGUUAGCUGAAGAUCAUGGGGAGGAACUGACAGGCGUCACCUUGAAUGUGGGCUUUCGUGAAAGGCAAGGAUCCCUUUGAUUAAGUUCCUAAUUAGAAAAGUGCUACUCAUUCCCAUAUGUUUGGAAAUGGGCAUUACAUAGGAUUUGUUGUUUAGUCGUUUAGUCGUGUCCGACUCUUCGUGACCCCCUGGACCAGAGCACGCCAGGCACUCCUGUCUUCCACUGCCUCCCGCAGUUUGGUCAAACUCAUGCUGGUAGCUUCUAGAACACUGUCCAACCAUCUUGUCCUCUGUCGUCCCCUUAUCCUUGUGCCCUCCAUCUUGCCCAACAUCAGGGUCUUUUCAGGAGUCUUCUCUUCUCCUGAGGUGGCCAAAGUAUUGGAGUCUCAGCUUCACGAUCUGUCCUUCCAGUGAGCACUCAGGGCUGAUUUCAUUCAGAAUGGAUAGGUUUGAUCUUCUUGCAGUCCAUGGGACUCUCAAGAGUCUCCUCCAGCACCAAUUACAUAGGAUACCAGGAUACAAUCACUUGCAAUAAUGUGAGGAAAAGAGUACGGCCAUUCUCACUGCUCCCCAUCACAGUAACACACCCUCUUAAGUUUGUUAGGAAGUGUAUAGUUUAUUAGUGUUUAUAUAUUACUGUUGUUGAUUUUUUUGAUUGGUCUAAACCACAGAGCCUAGGGCUUGCUGAUCAGAAGGUCGGCAGUUCGAAUCCCCGCGACGGGGUGAGCUCCCGAGCUCCUGCCAACCUAGCAGUUCGAAAGCAAGUCAAAGUGCAAGUAGAUAAAUAGAUACUUCUCUGGCGGGAAGGUAAACGGCAUUUCCGUGUGCUGCUCUGGUUUCGCCAGAAGCGGCUUAAUCAUGCUGGCCACAUGACCCAGAAGUGUAUGCCGGCUCCCUUGGCCAAUAAAGCGAGAUGAGCGCCGCAACCCCAGAGUCGUCAGUGACUGGACCUAAUGGUCAGGGGGUCCCUUUACCUUUACCUUUGAUUAUUUUUAUUAUGUAUUUUCUGCUUUGUAUAUUGCAGUUUUGAGUUGUGAACUACCCUGAGACCUUCAAGUAUAGGGCAGUACACAAAUAAUAAUAAUAAUAAUAAUAAUAAUAAUAAUAAUAAUAAUAUGGGAGCCUUUCUGUAUGUGCACAAGUUCUUUGCACAGUUUAGAACUUUGCAAGAUCAGGAUUCUCAGUUGCACCUGUGAGCUUUGAAUGCCUGAACAAGGCUCAUGAGCUCGCUAGAAGACAGCAAGGAAUGGUUAGAUGAAAAAUCAAAAGCACAAAUACAGUAACAUCUGGUGUGAUGGGGCAAAGCAACAGAGCCACACUUCCGACUGUGGCAUUGCAAGGUCAUGGCUUCCAUGGGGGAGAUGUUCAAACCAGUUCACAUGUCAAGGUGAACCUACCCAACCUGCACUUUGCCCAACAGCACGUGAAGUGAAAUUCGCACUUUCUGAAUCAAAAAACCCAACCAACCUUCAAAAUGUGGUAGGUCUACAAAUUUGGCAAUGCAGUUUUCCAUCCAAGGAAAGUCUCCAACGAUGGGGUAAAGUGAGCAUACAAAUGCUUAUAUUAGGAAAAAUAAUGCAUGCUAAUAGGCUUUGCAAAAGUUUGUCUAUUGGGAAGAUUUGCAGGUGGAAAUGUGCCUGCUGUGGGAAUUUCAACUAAAAUGCAGGUGAAUUUUCAUGAAGUUAAAAAAAUAAUAACGCAAAGGACGUGGAAAUGUGGAGGACCGCACUUAAGAUUGGAAACAUGAGAAACUGAGGGAAACCAAAAUGGCCACAUUCUCCCAUCCCUAAUUGGCAAGAGUGCUUGGCUGGCUACGCCAGUCUCAUUACCUCCCUGACCCAGUCUUCGCAGGUAAAGGUAAAAGAACCCUGGACGGUUAAGUCCAGUCGAAUUUGACUAUAGGUUGUGGCACUCAUCUCUGCUUUCAGGCCAAGAGAGCCGGUGUUUGUCCAUAGACAGCUUUCCAGGUCAUGUGGCCAGCACGACUAAACCACUUCUGGCACACGGAACACCAUGACAAGUGCCAGAGCGCACGGAAACGCUAUUUACCUUCCCGCCGCAGUGGUACCUAUUUGUCUACUCAUGCUGGUGUGCUUUUGAACUGCUAGGUUGGCAGGAGCUGGGACAGAGCAACAGCUCACCCCACUGUGCGGAUUCGAACUGUCGACCUUUCAGCAAGCGCAAGAGGCUCGUGGUUUGGACCACAGCGCCACCCGCAUCCAACUGCGCAGGUAAGCUGUAGUGAGGCUGGUGUCAGGAGGGUGACUCUGAUCCACUACACCAGCUGCUACGCAGCCCAGCAGUGCUCCUUUCCUCGAAUAACAAGUGCUGCGUGGCUCUCAAAUCUCUCAGUAAAACGUAGCCUUAGAAGUAGAACGGAAAUGAAUCGGUUGCUCCCUCCCACCGCAAUUCUCUUCAGAGGUCUCACUUUAUGGCUUUUGAUGGCAAAUAUAAUAUUCUCUAAAUAUUCUCCAGAUAUUAAUAUAUUCAACGACUGUUUGAAGUACAGAACAUCGGCAUCUGAUACUUUGCACUAGCGUACAGAGCCAGCUUUUCUCUGCUCAAAUUGAAACACUCUGAAAAGCAGU
Molecule: non-coding RNA, 3554 nt
Organism: Podarcis lilfordi (Lilford's wall lizard)
Lineage: Eukaryota; Metazoa; Chordata; Lepidosauria; Squamata; Lacertidae
Source: the annotation of a GenBank genome assembly